RNAcentral lists this non-coding RNA (29 nucleotides) under Homo sapiens (human). The record is from RNAcentral. Lineage: Eukaryota; Metazoa; Chordata; Mammalia; Primates; Hominidae.
UUCAACCAGGUUGUGUUGAAGAGGUUGUU